UUUAAUUCGAAGCAACGCGAAGAACCUUACCUAGACUUGACAUCUCCUGCAUUACUCUUAAUCGAGGAAGUCCCUUCGGGGACAGGAUGACAGGUGGUGCAUGGUUGUCGUCAGCUCGUGUCGUGAGAUGUUGGGUUAAGUCCCGCAACGAGCGCAACCCUUAUUGUUAGUUGCCAUCAUUAAGUUGGGCACUCUAGCGAGACUGCCCGGGUUAACCGGGAGGAAGGUGGGGAUGACGUCAAAUCAUCAUGCCCCUUAUGUCUAGGGCUACACACGUGCUACAAUGGUCGGUACAAUAAGACGCAAGCCCGCGAGGGGGAGCAAAACUGGAAAACCGAUCUCAGUUCGGAUUGUAGGCUGAAACUCGCCUACAUGAAGCUGGAGUUGCUAGUAAUCGCGAAUCAGCAUGUCG
Molecule: ribosomal RNA, 412 nt
Filed under: uncultured bacterium
Lineage: Bacteria
Description: bacterial SSU rRNA
Rfam family: Bacterial small subunit ribosomal RNA
Source: RNAcentral